This 497-nucleotide ribosomal RNA is filed under the name uncultured bacterium. RNAcentral describes it as "partial 16S ribosomal RNA". It matches the Rfam family "Bacterial small subunit ribosomal RNA", at positions 28 to 507 of the family's 1533-position model. The record is from RNAcentral.
GAUGAACGCUGGCGGCGUGCCUAAUACAUGCAAGUCGAGCGAACGGACGAGAAGCUUGCUUCUCUGAUGUUAGCGGCGGACGGGUGAGUAACACGUGGAUAACCUACCUAUAAGACUGGGAUAACUUCGGGAAACCGGAGCUAAUACCGGAUAAUAAUUUGAACAGCAUGGUUCAAAAGUGAAAGACGGUCUUGCUGUCACUUAUAGAUGGAUCCGCGCUGCAUUAGCUAGUUGGUAAGGUAACGGCUUACCAAGGCAACGAUGCAUAGCCGACCUGAGAGGGUGAUCGGCCACACUGGAACUGAGACACGUUCCAGACUCCUACGGGAGGCAACAGUAGGGAAUCUUCCGCAAUGGACGAAUGCCUGACGGAGCAACGCCGCGUGAGUGAUGAAGGUCUUCUGAUCGUAAAACUCUGUUAUUAGGGAAGAACAUAUGUGUAAGUAACUGUGCACAUCUUGACGGUACCUAAUCAGAAAGCCACGGCUAACUACGUG